Molecule: ribosomal RNA, 475 nt
Filed under: uncultured bacterium
Lineage: Bacteria
Description: SSU rRNA
Rfam family: Bacterial small subunit ribosomal RNA
Source: RNAcentral
AGGACGAACGCUGGCGGCGCGCUUAACACAUGCAAGUCGAGCGAGAACCAGUCUUCGGACUGGGGAAAGCGGCGAACGGGUGAGUAACACGUGGGUAAUCAACCCUUGACACCGGGAUAGCCCGAGGAAACUCGGAUUAAUACCGGAUGGCCCAACAGUCUUUCGGGGCGGUUGGAAAAGGUAGCUUCGGCCUCCGGUCAGGGACGAGCCCGCGGCGGAUUAGCUUGUUGGUGAGGUAACGGCUCACCAAGGCAACGAUCCGUAGCUGGUCUGAGAGGACGAUCAGCCACACUGGGACUGAGACACGGCCCAGACUCCUACGGGAGGCAGCAGUGGGGAAUCUUGCACAAUGGGCGAAAGCCUGAUGCAGCGACGCCGCGUGGAUGAUGAAGGCCUAGGGUUGUAAAGUCCUUCGACGGGAAGAUAAUGACGGUACCGUAGAAGAAGCCCGGCUAACUUCGUGCCAGCAGCCGAC